GACGAACGCUGGCGGCGUGCUUAACACAUGCAAGUCGAACGGAAAGGCCCUGCUUUUGUGGGGUGCUCGAGUGGCGAACGGGUGAGUAACACGUGAGUAACCUGCCCUUGACUUUGGGAUAACUUCAGGAAACUGGGGCUAAUACCGGAUAGGAGCUCCUGCUGCAUGGUGGGGGUUGGAAAGUUUCGGCGGUUGGGGAUGGACUCGCGGCUUAUCAGCUUGUUGGUGGGGUAGUGGCUUACCAAGGCUUUGACGGGUAGCCGGCCUGAGAGGGUGACCGGCCACAUUGGGACUGAGGUACGGCCCAGACUCCUACGGGAGGCAGCAGUGGGGAAUAUUGCACAAUGGGCGGAAGCCUGAUGCAGCAACGCCGCGUGCGGGAUGACGGCCUUCGGGUUGUAAACAGCUUUCGCCUGUGACGAAGCGUGAGUGACGGUAAUGGGUAAAGAAGCACCGGCUAACUACGUG
This 468-nucleotide ribosomal RNA is filed under the name uncultured bacterium. RNAcentral's name for it is "partial 16S ribosomal RNA". It matches the Rfam family "Bacterial small subunit ribosomal RNA", at positions 28 to 507 of the family's 1533-position model. The record is from RNAcentral.